GCUGUACUUAGCCCGCCAAACAACCAUAAAUAUAACCACGCAUAACACCCAAAACAAAACAUUUACCACCCAUAAUAGUAUAGGAGAUAGAAAUUAUCAUAGGCGCUAUAGAGACAGUACCGCAAGGGAAAAAUGAAAGAAAAUACUAAAGCAAUAAAUAGCAAAGAUUACACCUUGUACCUUUUGCAUAAUGAUUUAACUAGACUAAUCUUAGCAAAGAGAACUUAAGUUAACAUCCCCGAAACCAGACGAGCUAUUCACGAGCAGCUUCACAGAGCAAACUCGUCUAUGUGGCAAAAUAGUGAGAAGACUCAUGAAUAGAGGUGAAAAGCCUACCGAGCCUGGUGAUAGCUGGUUGUCCAAUAUAGAAUUUUAGUUCAAACUUAAGCCUACCUACAAACACUCCAAUUCCACUGUAGACUUAAGAGAUAGUCUAAAGGGGGACAGCCCUUUAGACAUAGGUUGUAACCUUAGCUAGAGAGUAAGUACAAAAACAUUUCAUAGUGGGCCUAAAAGCAGCCAUCAAUAAAGAAAGCGUUCAAGCUCAACAACCAAACUACCUUAAUCCCUACGAUCACUACCAACUCCUAACAUAAAAUAUUGGACCAUUCUAUAACCGUAUAGAAGAAACACUGUUAAUAUGAGUAACAAGAACACAAUUCUCCCCGCACAAGUGUAUAUCAGAACGAAUACCCACUGAUAGUUAACGAACAUUAAAGCCAAAUUAACCAACAAGCCCCCUUACCCAGGCCAUCGUUAACCCAACACAGGAGUGCCUCAAGGAAAGAUUAAAAGGAGUAAAAGGAACUCGGCAAACACAAACCCCGCCUGUUUACCAAAAACAUCACCUCUAGCAUCCCCAGUAUUAGAGGCACUGCCUGCCCAGUGACAUACGUUCAACGGCCGCGGUAUCCUGACCGUGCAAAGGUAGCAUAAUCACUUGUUCUCUAACUAAGGACUUGUAUGAACGGCCCCACGAGGGUUUUACUGUCUCUUACUCCCAAUCAGUGAAAUUGACCUCCCCGUGAAGAGGCGGGGAUACUAAAACAAGACGAGAAGACCCUAUGGAGCUUCAAUUAAUUAGCUUAAGACAAAACACAAAACAACCCCAAAAGGAAUAAAAAACUUCUCACUAAGCUAACAAUUUAGGUUGGGGUGACCUCGGAGCACAAAACACCCUCCGAGCAAUUUAAGCUUAGACCCACUAGUCAAAGCACCACCACUCACUGAUCCAAUUAUUAAUUGAUCAACGGAACAAGUUACCCUAGGGAUAACAGCGCAAUCCUAUUCAAGAGUUCCUAUCGACAAUAGGGUUUACGACCUCGAUGUUGGAUCAGGACAUCCCAAUGGUGCAGCAGCUAUUAAUGGUUCGUUUGUUCAACGAUUAAAGUCCUACGUGAUCUGAGUUCAGACCGGAGUAAUCCAGGUCGGUUUCUAUCUAUUCUACGCUCCUCCCAGUACGAAAGGACAAGAGAAGCGGGGCCCCCUUAAACCCUAAGCGCCCCCCAACAAAACAGAUGAUAUAAUCUCAAUCUACUAUGUAGCAACCAACAAUGCCCUAGACCAGGGCCCA
This 1573-nucleotide ribosomal RNA is filed under the name Sturnira bakeri. RNAcentral describes it as "16S ribosomal RNA". It matches the Rfam family "Bacterial large subunit ribosomal RNA". The record is from RNAcentral. Lineage: Eukaryota; Metazoa; Chordata; Mammalia; Chiroptera; Phyllostomidae.